This 375-nucleotide unclassified non-coding RNA is filed under the name uncultured bacterium. Its description in RNAcentral is "contains 16S-23S intergenic spacer region". The record is from RNAcentral.
UCGCGGCUUAUCACCGGCAGUCCCCUUAGAGUGCCCAACUGAAUGCUGGCAACUAAGGGCAGGGGUUGCGCUCGUUGCGGCACUUAAGCCAACACCUCACGGCACGAGCUGACGACAGCCAUGCAGCACCUGUGCUAGCCCCUUACGGACACGCGCUUUCACGCGCUUUAACUAGCAUGUCAAGCCUAGGUAAGGUUCUUCGCGUUGCAUCGAAUUAAGCAACAUGCUCCGCCGCUUGUGCGGGCCCCCGUCAAUUCCUUUGAGUCUCAGCCUUGCGGCCGUACUCCCCAGGCGGGGCACUUCAUGCGUUAGCGCCGGCACCCAGGGGGUCGCUCCCCCAGGCACCUAGUGCCCAUCGUUUACGGCGUGGACUAC